UACGAAGGGUGCAAGCGUUACUCGGAAUUACUGGGCGUAAAGCGUGCGUAGGUGGUGAGUUAAGUCUGUCGUGAAAGCCCCGGGCUCAACCUGGGAAUGGCGAUGGAUACUGGCUCGCUAGAGUGCGGUAGAGGAGAGUGGAAUUCCCGGUGUAGCAGUGAAAUGCGUAGAGAUCGGGAGGAACAUCAGUUGCGAAGGCGGCUCUCUGGACCAGCACUGACACUGAGGCACGAAAGCAUGGGGAGCAAACAGG
RNAcentral lists this ribosomal RNA (253 nucleotides) under uncultured bacterium. Its description in RNAcentral is "partial 16S ribosomal RNA". It matches the Rfam family "Bacterial small subunit ribosomal RNA", at positions 524 to 776 of the family's 1533-position model. The record is from RNAcentral.